AUCUUCAGUCUACACAGAAGCACUUGAGGCAACAAGAACUUUGAGCUACAAGCUUGAAGAUGUCUUGCUGUGGUGGAAGCUGCUCCUGCGGUUCCUGCGGCUGCGGUGUGAUGUACCUUGGCUUCGAUGAGAACACUAGCAACACCCCAGGAACCAUGGUCCUUGGUGUUUCAGCUGAGAAGGGCAGGGCUGGAGAAGUGCCAGAGAAGGCUACGGAAUCCGGCGAGGCUGGCUAUGGCUAUGGCUGCAGCUGCGGCUCCGGCUGCAGCUGCAGCCCCUGCAGCUGCUGAAGAGGCCGGGAUGUACACACACAUGCCUGACUGCACAUGAUCUACUCUACUACUAGUAAAUAAGAAGCCAUUUGAUGGAAUGGCUCAAGAUCAUGUCAGGCUUGGGUGCUUGCUGGUCUCCUAUUACUGUACUGCUGUGUCUUGUGAAACCAAAUGACUACCAUGUGGCCUUGUGAGUUGUGACUGGGAAAGGAAAAUUUCAGGUUUCCAAGCUACUCUGUAUCUGCAUGUACUGUGCUGUUUCAGUGAAAAUUGUGGUGUGAAAUUAAUACAGUCUGGUUAGUUUGCGCAUA
Molecule: long non-coding RNA, 583 nt
Organism: Setaria italica (foxtail millet)
Lineage: Eukaryota; Viridiplantae; Streptophyta; Magnoliopsida; Poales; Poaceae
Exons: 3
Source: RefSeq, a predicted model, not a curated record